AGUGAACGCUGGCGGUAGGCCCAACACAUGCAAGUCGAACGGCAGCACAGUAAGCGCUUGCUCUUACGGGUGGCGAGUGGCGGACGGGUGAGGAAUACAUCGGAAUCUACUUUUUCGUGGGGGAUAACGUAGGGAAACUUACGCUAAUACCGCAUACGACCUACGGGUGAAAGCAGGGGAUCUUCGGACCUUGCGCGAUUGAAUGAGCCGAUGUCGGAUUAGCUAGUUGGCGGGGUAAAGGCCCACCAAGGCGACGAUCCGUAGCUGGUCUGAGAGGAUGAUCAGCCACACUGGAACUGGGACACGGUCCAGACUCCUACGGGAGGCAGCAGUGGGGAAUAUUGGACAAUGGGCGAAAGCCUGAUGCAGCCAUACCGCGUGGGUGAAGAAGGCCUUCGGGUUGUAAAGCCCUUUUGUUGGGAAAGAAAAGCAGCAGGUUAAUACCCCGCUGUUCUGACGGUACCCAAAGAAUAAGCACCGGCUAACUUCGUG
RNAcentral lists this ribosomal RNA (492 nucleotides) under uncultured bacterium. RNAcentral describes it as "partial 16S ribosomal RNA". It matches the Rfam family "Bacterial small subunit ribosomal RNA", at positions 29 to 507 of the family's 1533-position model. The record is from RNAcentral.